Molecule: non-coding RNA, 26 nt
Filed under: Homo sapiens (human)
Lineage: Eukaryota; Metazoa; Chordata; Mammalia; Primates; Hominidae
Source: RNAcentral
CAGACCCAAGCUUGGAGCAGCUGGUC